UACGGAGGAUCCAAGCGUUAUCCGGAAUCAUUGGGUUUAAAGGGUCCGUAGGCGGCUUUAUAAGUCAGUGGUGAAAUCCGGCAGCUUAACUGUCGAAUUGCCAUUGAUACUGUAGGGCUUGAAUUGUUGUGAAGUAACUAGAAUAUGUAGUGUAGCGGUGAAAUGCUUAGAUAUUACAUGGAAUACCAAUUGCGAAGGCAGGUUACUAACAAUACAUUGACGCUGAUGGACGAAAGCGUGGGUAGCGAACAGG
RNAcentral lists this ribosomal RNA (253 nucleotides) under uncultured bacterium. Its description in RNAcentral is "partial 16S ribosomal RNA". It matches the Rfam family "Bacterial small subunit ribosomal RNA", at positions 524 to 776 of the family's 1533-position model. The record is from RNAcentral.